This 502-nucleotide ribosomal RNA is filed under the name uncultured bacterium. RNAcentral describes it as "partial 16S ribosomal RNA". It matches the Rfam family "Bacterial small subunit ribosomal RNA", at positions 28 to 507 of the family's 1533-position model. The record is from RNAcentral.
GACGAACGCUGGCGGCGUGCUUAACACAUGCAAGUCGAACGGUGAAGGGGCCUGCUUUUGUGGGCCCUGGAUGAGUGGCGAACGGGUGAGUAACACGUGAGUAACCUGCCCCCUUCUUCUGGAUAACCGCAUGAAAGUGUGGCUAAUACGGGAUAUUCUGGGUCUGUCGCAUGAUGGGUCUGGGAAAGAUUGCGCCUUUGGGUGUUUUUGGUGGGGGAUGGGCUCGCGGCCUAUCAGCUUGUUGGUGGGGUGAUGGCCUACCAAGGCGGUGACGGGUAGCCGGCCUGAGAGGGUGGACGGUCACACUGGGACUGAGACACGGCCCAGACUCCUACGGGAGGCAGCAGUGUGGAAUAUUGCACAAUGGGCGCAAGCCUGAUGCAGCGACGCCGCGUGAGGGAUGGAGGCCUUCGGGUUGUAAACCUCUUUCGCCAGUGAAGCAGGCCUGCUCCUUGUGGGUGGGUUGACGGUAGCUGGAUAAGAAGCGCCGGCUAACUACGUG